This 1442-nucleotide small RNA is filed under the name Spisula solidissima (Atlantic surf clam). RNAcentral describes it as "cnRNA218". The record is from RNAcentral. Lineage: Eukaryota; Metazoa; Mollusca; Bivalvia; Venerida; Mactridae.
CCGGAGCUCUGCAGRAYUCCCACAAUCACUCACUUAAUACAGAACUCCCACAAUCACUCACUUAAUACAGAACUCCCACAAUCACUCACUUAAUACAGAACUCCCACAAUCACUCACUUAAUACAGAACUCCMACAAUCACUCACUUAAUACAGAACUCCCACAAUCACUCACUUAAUACAGAACUCCCACAAUCACUCACUUAAUACAGAACUCCCACAAUCACUCACUUAAUACAGAACUCCCACAAUCACUCACUUAAUACAGAACUCCCACAAUCACUCAYUUAAUACAGAACUCCCACAAUCACUCACUUAAUACAGAACUCCCACAAUCACUCACUUAAUACAGAACUCCCACAAUCACUCACUUAAUACAGAACUCCCACAAUCACUCACUUAAUACAGAACUCCCACAAUCACUCACUUAAUACAGAACUCCCACAAUCACUCACUUAAUACAGAACUCCCACAAUCACUCACUUAAUACAGAACUCCCACAAUCACUCACUUAAUACAGAACUCCCACAAUCACUCACUUAAUACAGAACUCCCACAAUCACUCACUUAAUACAGAACUCCCACAAUCACUCACUUAAUACAGAACUCCCACAAUCACUCACUUAAUACAGAACUCCCACAAUCACUCACUUAAUACAGAASUCCCACAAUCACUCACUUAAUACAGAASUCCCACAAUCACUCACUURAUACRGRACUCCCMCAAUCACUCACUURAUACRGRACUCCCACAAUCACUCRCUURAUACRGRACUCCCACAAUCACUCSSUUAAUACGGGANNNUACAGACUCCCACAAUCACUCACUUAAUACAGAAUUCCCACAAUCACUCACUUAAUACAGAACUCCCACAAUCACUCACUUAAUACAGAACUCCCACAAUCACUCACUUAAUACAGAACUCCCACAAUCACUCACUUAAUACAGAACUCCCACAAUCACUCACUUAAUACAGAACUCCCACAAUCACUCACUUAAUACAGAACUCCCACAAUCACUCACUUAAUACAGAACUCCCACAAUCACUCACUUAAUACAGAACUCCCACAAUCACUCACUUAAUACAGAACUCCCACAAUCACUCACUUAAUACAGAACUCCCACAAUCACUCACUUAAUACAGAACUCCCACAAUCACUCACUUAAUACAGAACUCCCACAAUCACUCACUUAAUACAGAACUCCCACAAUCACUCACUUAAUACAGAACUCCCACAAUCACUCACUUAAUACAGAACUCCCACAAUCACUCACUUAAUACAGAACUCCCACAAUCACUCACUUAAUACAGAACUCCCACAAUCACUCACUUAAUACAGAACUCCCACAAUCACUCACUUAAUACAGAACUCCCACAAUCACUCACUUAAUACAGAACUCCCACAAUCACUCACUUAAUACAGAACUCCCACAAUCACUCAC